GACGAACGCUGGCGGCGUGCUUAACACAUGCAAGUCGAACGGAAAGGCCCCCACCUUGGUGGGGGUGCUCGAGUGGCGAACGGGUGAGUAACACGUGGGUGAUCUGCCCUGUACUUCGGGAUAAGCUUGGGAAACUGGGUCUAAUACCGGAUAGGACCAUGGUUUAGUGUCUCAUGGUGGAAAAAUUAUUGUUUUGGUGCAGGAUGAGCUCGCGGCCUAUCAGCUUGUUGGUGGGGUAAUGGCCUACCAAGGCGUCGACGGGUAGCCGGCCUGAGAGGGUGGACGGCCACAUUGGGACUGAGAUACGGCCCAGACUCCGACGGGAGGCAGCAGUGGGGAAUAUUGCACAAUGGGCGCAAGCCUGAUGCAGCGACGCCGCGUGGGGGAUGACGGCCUUCGGGUUGUAAACUCCUUUCGUUAGGGACGAAGCCACACCUUUUUUGGGUGUGGUGACGGUACCUUUGUUAAGAAGCACCGGCUAACUACGUG
This 489-nucleotide ribosomal RNA is filed under the name uncultured bacterium. RNAcentral describes it as "partial 16S ribosomal RNA". It matches the Rfam family "Bacterial small subunit ribosomal RNA", at positions 28 to 507 of the family's 1533-position model. The record is from RNAcentral.